UGCUUAAUAAAAGUUUGGGUCCACGCUGGACUUCCAUACAAGGAUGAAAUAGGGAUUUUUCAGAUAAGAACUGAAGAAUCAUAAAAGAGAAAUAGAUAGAUUUGGUGGUAAGAAGGAAAAGUCAUCUUCUUCAUCUAGUUGCUGAGGGGGUGGUGUUUCGAACUUCUUCUUCACUGCAGGUGGCCACUUCAACAAUUCGGUUCGGGUUGAGAGCUUCACCUUCGAAGAAAAAUUUGUUUCUUCCUUUCCAGAUUUCCCAGAGCAGAUACGCAGCAUUGUGAAUCUUUCUUCUUCUAUUUCUUUCAAUUUUUAACUUCUCAAUCAAACUCAUCCACCAUUGCCAAAGACUCGUGGUCUGAUGAAGAGUAAAGAUUCCCAUUCCUGCAAAUUGCCACACUAAUUGCGAGGUUUCACAAUUGAUGAGGCAAAAAAGAUAUUCUUGGGAUUCUUUCGUGCAAUCUUUUACCCGUAGAGUUUCUUCUCGUGACACUGGACUGGGAGCAUUUCCAGAUAAGGGUGAUAGAAUUAGUAAGCCACUUGGUAGCCUGAAGCAGCUGCGUAUCUUCCUUGUUUCUCCUUGGGCCAGGUAAUUUCAUCCUCCCCAUUAUAAUGCUUGUCUGAAAAAUUGGUUGAGCUAUAUCUGGAUUAAAAAUUUCUGUGAUAAAUUGUUGGUUUCACUGUCUAUUAUUUGUGAUGAACUAAGAUACCCAUUCUACUUGCAUGUUGUUCGGGUGUUGCAUAAUAGUCGAUAAAGGGGGUAAUUUUUUAUCCAUGGGUCUUCCAUUAACUUCACUGAUCUGCCGCUUCCUAUCUCCCACUGAAUUCCCUUUUCAAUCACUUUUCUGCCUUCCAACUUACUUUUCCAAUCCCAUAAGGGGUUAUUUCCUACUCCUUCCUUAAGAAAGGAUGUAAACCUGAAAUAUUUGCUCUUAUAGACUCUGCAAAGCAGUGCAUUAGGCCUGGUCAAAAUUCUCCAGCCUUGUUUUUCAAGCAUGAACAAAUUAAAAGCUCUAAUAUUAAAUUAUAGCCUGUCUUGUUGUUUUGGUCUGCACAUCAGAUUCAACCCUAUCCACUGCAUUUUCUUUUCAUUCUCUUCUUGGCGCCACCAAAUCUGCAUCAUCAUACUAUGAAGUUCUUCCGUGAACGUAUCUGGUAGUUUAAAAUAGUUCAACGUAUAUAAAGAGACCGCCAAUGCUACUGCUUUAAUAAGAAUCUCCCUUCCGCUUGCUGAUAAUAAGGAUCAUUUUCAAUGUUGUAACUUGUUAGAAACCUUAUCCUUAAUAUAGGAAAACAUUGCUCUCUUAGAUCGGUUGAUAACUGAUGGUAAUUCAAGAUAUUUAUCUCGGUUACUGACACGGGGAACAUUGAGAAUAGCUACCAGGUGAUCUCUAACUUCCGUAGGGGUGUUGUGGCUGAAGAAAAUGGAGGAUUUGUCUGGGUUAAUGACUUGGUCGCUUACUUGAGAAUAAGUGUGAAGAAUAGUCAUUAACUGUAAGCAAUCCUCUUCUGUUGUCCUAUUGAAUAAGAUGGAAUCAUCCGCAAAAAUAAGUGAUUGGCUGUAUGUCUGUGGAGCAGAUAGCAGGGGCCCUCUGCACAAAAGAGAAAAAGGUAGGAGGAUAAAGGAUCACCUUGUCGCAAUCCUCUAUAUGGUCUAAAGAAGCCAUGAGGUUGACCUUCCACAGUAACAGAGUAUGAGACCGUCGUCACACAUUCCUUUAACCAACCAAUCCAUCUCGAACAAAAAUCCAUCUUCUUCAUAAUCGCCCAUACAUAACUCUAUUCCACCCUGUUGUACACAUUAUUCGUAUCCAUUUUCAAAGCUAAUUCUUGAGAGCCGGACCUUUUAUUCUUGAGAAAAUGCAUGAAUUCGUGAGCAAUAAGAAUAUUAUCACUGAUAAGCCUGCCCCUUAUGAAAGCACUUUGAUUAUGGCUAAUGACUUUAUCCAUAACACUUUGCAUAUGGUGCACUAUUACUUUUGACACAAUCUUGUAAAAAACCGUACUGAGGCUGAUUGGUUUUAUAUGCUUCAUAGAAGUAGUGUUAGUAAUUUUUUGAAUAAGACAAAUAUGAGUAUGGUUAAAGGCUCUAAGCAUGUACCCACCCGAAAAUAAACUAACCACAGCAUUAAUAACAUCAACUUUCAUUACCUCCCAGAAGAAUUGAUAGAAUUUAGCUGUGAAACUAUCUUCACCAGGAGCUAAAAAAGGAUUGAUAGAGAAAAUAGCCUCCUUGACUUCUUUAUCUGAUACUGGUCUUGUUAAUCUUCUAUUAAUGUUGUCAUCAAUUUUUCUUGGAAUGUCAGAGAUAGUUUCAAUUGGGUCUUCCGGAUUAGAAGAUCUAAACAAAUCCUCAAAAUAAGCUUGAGCUACUUCUGCAAUACCAUUCAGAUAUGAUUUUUCUGCACCAUAUUCUGCAACAAGACAAGAGAUACAAUUCUUCCUAUUCCUAACUUGAAAUUUGGUAUGAAAGAACUUGGUGUUCUUGUCACCCCAAUUAAGCCACUGGAUACAAGAUUUCUCCCUCCAAUAUCAUUCCUCCAUGUCAUAAGCUUCUUCCAGCUCAGCCUUUAAAAUUCUGAUAGUCUUACCAUUUGCCGAACCUCCCUUUUCCUUUUCCUCCAUCAACCGAUUAUUAAUUAGGGAGAUUUGGGCCUAGGAGUUAGAGCUAUGAGUCUUCUGCCAAUCUACAAUUGUAUGUCAACAUUUCUUUAGCUUUUAAUGAAGUUUAAACAUUGAAGAUCCUUCAAAAUCAUCCCUUCAUACCUCUUUGAUCAAAUCCAUGAUCACUUUUUUAUUGCACCAUCUUUCUUGGAAUCAGAAUCGUCUCUUUGGCUUUGUUGUGUGUGUAUCCGAGGUGAGUGGAAUCGGUCUAUGAUUUGAUCUCAUGUCAGUUAAAUGAGAAACCAAGGCACUUGGAUAGGAAUUCCUCCAUGCUUCUGACGCAAAUGCUCUAUCCAAUCUUUCUUUGAUGUGGUUGAUGCCAUAUUGACGGUUGGUCUACGUAAAUUUUAGUCCCUCAUAAUGCAGAUCUAUCAAACCAGCCUCAUUGAUAAAGUUUUGAAAUUUUUGAAUUGAGGACUCUGACUUUUCUCUACCUCCCUCCUUUUCAUGUUGGGCUUUAAUAGCAUUAAAAUCCCCAAUGAUGAUCUUGAGUUACUCUCCAUUCCUCGUGACCUCAAUUAGCUCCCUAAAUUGAAGUUUCCUUUGUCUUUUAGCCGUGUUAAGAUGCACCCCAUCACCUUCCACCUCCUUUUAUCUCCUGGUACUUCCAACUUGAAUUGAAUAAAAUAGUCUUUGUAGUUGAUUACUUGUACUCUCCUUCCAACCAACUACCAAUCCACCAGCAAUUCCAUUUGGUUCCAGACAAUACGAGUGUCCGAAACUUGCUUUCUUGAACACCUUCUCUACCUUUGAGGUGGUGUUUUUAGUUUCGCAAAGGAAUACCACCUCAGAGAAAUGAGCCUUACACAGCUCUUUCAUGCUGUGAACCGUCAGGGGUUUUUCCAUACCCCAACAGUUCCACAUCAUAAUCUUCAUGGAUUCUUGGGUGCUAUUUGUUGGGUGACGCCCUCCCCCAUAACAGCAAGAAUUAAUUCUGGAUGGCAGAUCUUCUUACUCCCGACUUCUUUCUUUGCUUCCUCGGUUCUCCUCUUAACUCCUAAUAUUUUCCUCGCUAGCUGGCCUUUCCUCAUCAUCUUUUUCAGCGAAAGUUUAUGUUUACCUGAGUCCUCUGUGAAGCUCUUUACACUUGAGGAGCUGGUCUGUUUUUGGCUAGGAACCUCUUUCACUGCCAAAGCAUUUUUACCCCGUUCUUGCCAAAGAUGUCCGUUGAAAUAUCAACCCCUGUUGCCUCCUGAAUUUCUGGUUUUUCUUUUAGAAUUAUAGUUGUAUGGGGACUGUUCUAAACCUCUUCUUUAUCCUUAUUACUUAUUCCUCUUGUAUCUUCCAUUGAUAAAGAAGCCAAUCCUUUGAGCAAGUUAACUGGUGUUGGAGGUUUUGGCCUCACUCCUAUCCCUGUUUCAUUGCUCAGAUUAUUAGGAUUUGCAUUCUCUUUUGAUAUUUUCUCCCUUCUCCCGAAUUGAUCCGCCCUUAUCCACCCUCCCUACCUUUUCUCCGCUACCCCUUCAUUCAUUGCAUCCCGUAGUUGAACACCAUAAGUUCUAGCUUCAUGCCCAAUGUGACCACAAUAGUUGCAAAAAUUGCCAAGUUUUUCAUAUUUCAGAUUUACCUCCAUGAUUUUCUAAUCAGACCCAGCGAUCUUCAGAAUUCUGCGCAAGGAUUUAGUUAUAUCCAAAUUCACUUGAAUUUUGACAAUCUUUUCGUGCCUGCCUCUCAGAUGAAAAAUAUCAGCAUUAAGAACCUCUCCUAAUGCUCUUCCCACUUCUCUUCCAAGCUCCCUAGUUUUGCAGUAAUAAGGAAGUCCUCAUAAUUGUAUCCAAAUUGGCACAUUUGCAAAUUCACUCUCAUCUAUUUGUUUUCUUUGUUCCCAUCUCCUUAGAUUGAGUAGGUAAUUUUUGAAUAGCCAAGGAGAACCCCUUUAAUUUCAAUCCUCAGUACAUUCAUUUCAUCAUAAAAAAAAUUGAAAAACAUUAAUUCCAUGGUUUUGUACCUUGAAACCUGCUGGUUGUCCCCAAAUUGCAAACAUGGUAGCCUCCAUUGUUGCUGAACUGAACGGGCGAUCAGGCAGAAGCCUUCCGAUUAAACUUUUUGCACACUUAUCCAAUUUAGAUUAAAUGUCUCCAUCAUUAAAUACCACUACCUCCUUUUCUUCAGCUAGGUUACGCCUCUGAUUCUGUCUAACAGAAUUCGAAUUGCUUCCCAUGAUCCACCUUGUUUACGAAUCUUCGUAGAAAGUCAACGACUUCACACGACUUUGAAAAAAUUAGGAUUAUACUUUACUAACCUUAGCAGAGCACAAAAAAAAAGCUCUUAGAUCAUUUUUUUUAUUCGAAUUUUAUUAUGUAUUUUUGUUUAAUAUUGAUAUAAAUAAAAAAAAUAUGAACUUAAUUUGAAAAUAUCAAAAAAUAUUUUUUAUUAACUCUACUUCAGAUAUAAAUAAAAAAUUAAACAUUUUUCGUACAUACACUAGUAUCAUGCAAAAUGGAUUGUGAUCAUUAAGCGAAGGGGCAGUCGUUUAAGCAGAGCAGGCUCAUGAUCAGAUCAUAAAAGAGCUAGUGAAAAACUCGAUUCUCAUUAGUCAAUAUAAUACACUUUAUGUCUGGUAUGUUCAUCAGCAUCACCCUAGGCCCUAGCUAGGAAUCAUUCUGGGCUAGAAAAUGACAUAAGAGAUAAUAUUGACUUGAGCACAUUAGCAUUCCACCAUGUCAUUUGUGUAAUAUUGUCCCUCAUGUAUA
Molecule: long non-coding RNA, 5354 nt
Organism: Arachis ipaensis
Lineage: Eukaryota; Viridiplantae; Streptophyta; Magnoliopsida; Fabales; Fabaceae
Source: RefSeq, a predicted model, not a curated record